This 548-nucleotide ribosomal RNA is filed under the name uncultured bacterium. Its description in RNAcentral is "bacterial SSU rRNA". It matches the Rfam family "Bacterial small subunit ribosomal RNA", at positions 777 to 1313 of the family's 1533-position model. The record is from RNAcentral.
AAUAGAUACCCCGGUAGUCCACGCCGUAAACGGUGGGCACUAGGUGUGGGCGACAUUCCACGUCGUCCGUGCCGCAGCUAACGCAUUAAGUGCCCCGCCUGGGGAGUACGGCCGCAAGGCUAAAACUCAAAGGAAUUGACGGGGGGCCCGCACAAGCGGCGGAGCAUGUGGCUUAAUUCGACGCAACGCGAAGAACCUUACCAAGGCUUGACAUACACCGGAAACGUCCAGAGAUGGGCGCCCCCUUGUGGUCGGUGUACAGGUGGUGCAUGGCUGUCGUCAGCUCGUGUCGUGAGAUGUUAGGUUAAGUCCCGCAACGAGCGCAACCCGUUGUCCCGUGUUGCCAGCAGGCCCUUGUGGUGCUGGGGACUCACGGGAGACCGCCGGGGUUCAACUCGGAGGAAGGUGGGGACGACGUCAAGUCAUCAUGCCCCUUAUGUCUUGGGCUGCACACGUGCUACAAUGGCCGGUACAAUGAGCUGCGAUACCGCGAGGUGGAGCGAAUCUCAAAAACGCCGGUCUCAGUUCGGAUUGGGGUUCUGCAACCG